RNAcentral lists this unclassified non-coding RNA (270 nucleotides) under Hevea brasiliensis (rubber tree). The record is from RNAcentral. Lineage: Eukaryota; Viridiplantae; Streptophyta; Magnoliopsida; Malpighiales; Euphorbiaceae.
GGACGAGACCUAAAAUUUAUUAGUUUAUCAAUGUGCGGAUGCCUUUCUUUUGCUGCCCUUCUAUUGCUGGUUGUAAGCAAUAGGGGUUAUGGUUUGGUGGGCUGCUGGUGCGCGCUCGUCGGAUUUCAAUGGGCUCGGUUUGUUAACGCUCUUCGACGUGUCCUCUCUCCCAAUGGAGUGCUUUACUCCAGUGAUUUAAGCCAUUAUAAAGUAGCACAGCAGAAGGCUGCGUAGGUGACAGUUCAAGUUGUGCUGGCAGCUUGAAACAGU